CGGGACACCUGCACCCAAAGCUGAUGGGGAGGGUGAAAUGUCCUCUGUCCUCCAGUUACUUGUUUAAAAAGACGACUUGCAAUUUCAGCCGCGAGUCUGAAACAUUUGUGAACACCCCUGGCAAGCGCGGCGGAUGAAAUCAGAUUGUUCCUGGUUAAAAAGAUAACUUUGCGAGAUGUGAUCUGAAGCUCUCUUGUUGGAAUAUGAACCUCUCUCUGAGCUGGGUAUGAAGAUGUUGCAUCUGAGUAAUAUACGAAACUAUGAGUGAGAUGAACUGCAUCAUUUGAACCUACUGGCUGCUCAGGCACUAAGACUGCUUUGCUUGAUUUUUUCCGUUACGUUUCCUGUUUAAUCAUUGGAUUGUGCCUAUUGUGGAUCUAACCUGGACCAUCUGUACUCUCCCAUGGGGGUGCCUUUAUAUCACAGCCCCUUAUCCCUAGAGACCUAUCUGUAAUUUCACACUAACUGGCAUUUAAGUACAAUUUGUUACAUGGAAACAGUACAAUACAGCAUCAGUUACACACAGCAUGUGGGUUUAACCCCCCCUUGAGCUACAGUGUAGAAAAUGAAGGUGAUUGCCUUUGGAAAUAAUCCACUGACUUCUCGCUUGGCUGCAUUUUUUGUCAUAGCCUUAGUAAGUCAGGUGAUAGACAUUGGCACAUUGUGGCAUUUAGCCAUUGUGUGUAUGUUGUUAUUAUCUUAGCCUUUAUGUAUAUGUUGUAAUUACCUUAGAAAAAUGUAUACAAUGUAUUUUUGCACACGUAUCAAUUUGACUACAUUUAUUUGCUUUACAGUUGUAUUUGCAUUUGCAAACUUUUGAUUUGGGUCAUAUGUUAAAGGGCAAUAGCAUGCCUUUCUAUUCUUCAUAAUGUGCUGCUAUUACAGAACAGUGGAAUUCUAUAAAACAAAUGUUAUUGUGACAGUUUUUUUAUCAGGAAGAAUUAAAUGCAAGUCACAUUAUGAUUUUCCAGCCAAACAGAAAGGCCUAGGAACACAGUGAAGAGGCGGUGGAAUUUAGGGCAAACAUUCCUUUUUAGUAGGAAUCUCAAUAACUUGGAUACAAAACAAUUCCAUAGUAGAAUGGAAAAUGCUUUAUUGAUUAGUAAUUUGAUUUCUCAAGCGAUUGAAGAAGUGCAUUUCCUGGAUUUUUAACAGACUACAUUUCUUCUAAUUCCUACAUAGUAUUCAUCUGUCUGGAAAAAAAGUGCAGUGUCCUGAUAUUAUCUCAUAAAUUUUAGCUUGCUCAUUUCCUCACACGAUACACACCAAUUACACCUAUUCAUCUGAAGAAAAUAUCUUGCGAACACUCGGUAGAUGGCGAGAACAUUUUAUAAAACAAAAAUAUAAACAAAAUCAAUAAAGAGCAAUGAAAUAAAAGAAACCCUACCCAGUUUUGAAUGCAGAAACAGCAGUACAAUGAGCUGUGAAAAACAAUUCAAAGUACAAUUUUUGUUUCUACCUUGUUUGUUUCAAAACAUUAGGUUCUGUGUUUCUUUUUUGUGUUUUGUUGCUGUUGUUGCUAAUUGUGGAUGUUUUACAAGGUUUUAGAAAUCCUGCAAAUCCCCCAUAAUCUUUCAUUCUGGCCUCUUUUUUACUGAAGAAAACAAAACCAGAGCAAAUAGAGUUUACAAUAGGCAUCAGUGAACUAAUCAAGCAUGGUUGGAUGUUGAGGUUAGAAGUCAAGUUGGCUUUUUCUCUCUGCACUAAUGAAUUUCCUUCUCAUUACUUGUUAUUUGACAGGGGACAGACAGUGGCACAAGACUGAUUUUAAAGUAAUCACUUCUGCUUUAAUACUUUCUGAGGCACUCACUGGAUAACACACAGUGAAGUCUACAUACAAUGUAAAGUAAACAUCCCCAUCAACUUCUUUUCCCACAUGCUGAAUGACUUUGUAUCCAAUAUUGUUUCAAUCAAAAUAGUGUUUGGUUUUACUGUUUCAUGGUUUUACUCUAUUUUUACCUGUAUAGGAGCAAUAUUUUCCUUCAUUUAGCCCAUUUUAAACAUUAUCGGUUGCUCUAAAUGGAUACUUGCCAAGCCUAUAUAAUAGAGUUCAGCUAGCUUAAGGGGCAUAAAAUGUACACUUUACAUGCCUCGUCCUCAGGGGCACCCCUAUCACCUGAUGCCACUACGAAUCCCCACCCCUGGCUUGUCUAUUCUCUCAAAUCUAAAAAAUUUAAAUUUGGCUAUUACCAUUACCAGGCUUGGCCUUUUGUUCCCCCCUGGUAAAAUGUCAUCGACAUUUAAAUCAUACCACUUAAACAAGAAGCAAAGUCUUUAUAUUGGGGGGGGGGGUGCCUAAUAUAUGGGAUGCAUAAGUAUAGAAACAUAUCCGCACACACUCUAGUUAAUGCAGUCGGGGAGUAUCUCAUUAAUGAGAAUUUUAGUUAUACGCGUUUUCAUCCCUGAGCUCCAAAUACACUCCUUCACGAAACCUUCGCUCUGCUUCUGAUCUCCGCCUCGUUUCUCCUCGCAUCACUUCUGGCCAUUCUUGUCUACAAGACUUCUCUCGGGCUUCUGCUUUUGUCUGGAACUCUCUGCCUUGAGCUGUCAGACUUUUUCCUUCUUUCUAAACUUUCAAGCGCUCCU
Xenopus laevis (African clawed frog) is the source of this 2586-nucleotide long non-coding RNA. RefSeq lists it as uncharacterized. The record is from RefSeq and is a predicted model, not a curated record. The transcript is spliced from 3 exons. NCBI's taxonomy places the organism in Eukaryota, Metazoa, Chordata, Amphibia, Anura, Pipidae.